GAGGCUUUAGCUCAGUGGUAGAGCACUUGCCUGGCAUGCAUGAGGUCUUGGGUUCAGCCCAAAGUACUGG
Molecule: transfer RNA, 70 nt
Filed under: Marmota marmota marmota (Alpine marmot)
Lineage: Eukaryota; Metazoa; Chordata; Mammalia; Rodentia; Sciuridae
Also listed under: 1 other name
Rfam family: tRNA
About the family: Transfer RNA (tRNA) molecules are approximately 80 nucleotides in length. Their secondary structure includes four short double-helical elements and three loops (D, anti-codon, and T loops). Further hydrogen bonds mediate the characteristic L-shaped molecular structure. tRNAs have two regions of fundamental functional importance: the anti-codon, which is responsible for specific mRNA codon recognition, and the 3' end, to which the tRNAs corresponding amino acid is attached (by aminoacyl-tRNA synthetases). tRNAs cope with the degeneracy of the genetic code in two manners: having more than one tRNA (with a specific anti-codon) for a particular amino acid; and 'wobble' base-pairing, i.e. permitting non-standard base-pairing at the 3rd anti-codon position.
Source: Rfam by way of RNAcentral